RNAcentral lists this ribosomal RNA (564 nucleotides) under uncultured bacterium. RNAcentral describes it as "bacterial SSU rRNA". It matches the Rfam family "Bacterial small subunit ribosomal RNA", at positions 337 to 917 of the family's 1533-position model. The record is from RNAcentral.
UCCUACGGGAGGCAGCAGUGGGGAAUAUUGCACAAUGGGCGAAAGCCUGAUGCAGCAACGCCGCGUGAGUGAUGAAGGCCUUCGGGUCGUAAAGCUCUUUGAUCAGGGAUGAUAAUGACAGUACCUGAAAAACAAGCCACGGCUAACUACGUGCCAGCAGCCGCGGUAAUACGUAGGUGGCGAGCGUUGUCCGGAAUUACUGGGCGUAAAGGAUGCGUAGGUGGAUAUUUAAGUGGGAUGUGAAAUCCCCGGGCUCAACCCGGGAACUGCAUUCCAAACUGGGUAUCUAGAGUGCAGGAGAGGAAAGCGGAAUUCCUAGUGUAGCGGUGAAAUGCGUAGAUAUUAGGAGGAACACCAGUGGCGAAGGCGGCUUUCUGGACUGUAACUGACACUGAGGCAUGAAAGCGUGGGUAGCAAACAGGAUUAGAUACCCUGGUAGUCCACGCCGUAAACGAUGGGUACUAGGUGUAGGAGGUAUCGACCCCUUCUGUGCCGUCGUUAACACAAUAAGUACCCCGCCUGGGGAGUACGGUCGCAAGACUAAAACUCAAAGGAAUUGACGGA